Molecule: long non-coding RNA, 299 nt
Filed under: Oryctolagus cuniculus (rabbit)
Lineage: Eukaryota; Metazoa; Chordata; Mammalia; Lagomorpha; Leporidae
Description: lncRNA (ENSOCUG00000032200.1)
Source: RNAcentral
UUUCCAAUCUACUUGCAAAUGGGAAAUGCGGACUUUUGUAAAAUCAGCAGGAGAGACUCACACCUAAGGAAAGUUUAAGUGUGGCUAUUAUCCUGCUAACCUGAGAGUUAACUAUCCUCUCAAAUGAAACACCGAGCUCCCAGUAGAAUUUUACUUAUGCCGACUCACCACUAAAUCAGGAAUCAGAUUUCUGUAAGACUUUGGGGGAGCAAUGUGACACAGUGACUAUAUCUUGUCAGAAGACUAAACCAGAAACUGUUCUGUAGAACAUUGUUUUAGUGCAGAAGCAUCCGAGACAA